GACGAACGCUGGCGGCGUGCUUAACACAUGCAAGUCGAACGGAAAGGCCCUGCUUUUGUGGGGUGCUCGAGUGGCGAACGGGUGAGUAACACGUGAGUAACCUGCCCUUGACUUUGGGAUAACUUCAGGAAACUGGGGCUAAUACCGGAUAGGAGCUCCUGCUGCAUGGUGGGGGUUGGAAAGUUUCGGCGGUUGGGGAUGGACUCGCGGCUUAUCAGCUUGUUGGUGGGGUAGUGGCUUACCAAGGCUUUGACGGGUAGCCGGCCUGAGAGGGUGACCGGCCACAGUGGGACUGAGAUGCGGCCCAGACUCCUACGGGAGGCAGAAGUGGGGAAUAUUGCACAAUGGGCGGAAGCCUGAUGCAGCAACGCCGCGUGCGGGAUGACGGCCUUCGGGUUGUAAACCGCUUUCGCCUGUGACGAAGCGUGAGUGACGGUAAUGGGUAAAGAAGCACCGGCUAACUACGUG
Molecule: ribosomal RNA, 468 nt
Filed under: uncultured bacterium
Lineage: Bacteria
Description: partial 16S ribosomal RNA
Rfam family: Bacterial small subunit ribosomal RNA
Source: RNAcentral